AGGUAGCAUCCAAAAGAUUACAUGCCUGCCCGGUAUAGUCUUCCUAGAGUAAAAUUGUCAUUUCCUGCUUGUGGUACUGUUAGCAGGUUCUUCAAGUCUCAAAUGAUAAGACAACUUC
This is a non-coding RNA of Hordeum vulgare subsp. vulgare (domesticated barley), 118 nucleotides long. The record is from Rfam. Lineage: Eukaryota; Viridiplantae; Streptophyta; Magnoliopsida; Poales; Poaceae.